AGCAGCCGCGGUAAUUCCAGCUCCAAUAGCGUAUAUUAAAGUUGUUGCAGUUAAAAAGCUCGUAGUUGAAUUUCGGGAUCGAAUUGUUGGUCGUGCUUCGGUACGCACUGGCAUUAUUGGUUCCUACCUUCUGAAGAACCGCGAUGUCAUUAAUUUGGUGUCGUGGGGAAUCAGGACUGUUACUUUGAAAAAUUAGAGUGUUUAAAGCAGGCGCACGCUUGAAUACAUUAGCAUGGAAUAAUGAAAUAGGACGUUUGAUUCUAUUUUGUUGGUUUCCAGGAUCGACGUAAUGAUUAAUAGGGAUAGUUGGGGGCAUUAGUAUUCAAUUGUCAGAGGUGAAAUUCUUGGAUUUAUUGAAGACUAACUACUGCGAAAGCAUUUGCCAAGGAUGUUUUCAUUAAUCAAGAACGAAAGUUAGGGGAUCGAAGACGAUCAGAUACCGUCGUAGUCUUAACCAUAAACUAUGCCGACUAGGGAUCGGAUGAUGUUAAUUUUUUAAUGUACUCAUUCGGCGCCUUAC
Molecule: ribosomal RNA, 520 nt
Filed under: uncultured Glomus
Lineage: Eukaryota; Fungi; Glomeromycota; Glomeromycetes; Glomerales; Glomeraceae
Description: SSU rRNA
Rfam family: Eukaryotic small subunit ribosomal RNA
Source: RNAcentral